GACGAACGCUGGCGGCGCGCUUAACACAUGCAAGUCGAGCGAGAACCGGGGCUUCGGCCCCGGGGACAGCGGCGAACGGGUGAGUAACACGUGGGUAAUCUGCCCUCGGCACCGGGAUAGCCCGGGGAAACCCGGAUUAAUACCGGAUUGCCCCUCCGGCCUUCGGGCCGGCGGGAAAAGGUAGCUUCGGCCUCUGGCCGAGGAUGAGCCCGCGGCGGAUUAGCUUGUUGGUGAGGUAAUGGCUCACCAAGGCGACGAUCCGUAGCUGGUCUGAGAGGACGAUCAGCCACACUGGGACUGAGACACGGCCCAGACUCCUACGGGAGGCAGCAGUGGGGAAUCUUGCGCAAUGGGCGAAAGCCUGACGCAGCGACGCCGCGUGCGGGAAGAAGGCCUUC
This 398-nucleotide ribosomal RNA is filed under the name uncultured bacterium. RNAcentral's name for it is "bacterial SSU rRNA". It matches the Rfam family "Bacterial small subunit ribosomal RNA", at positions 28 to 419 of the family's 1533-position model. The record is from RNAcentral.